RNAcentral lists this long non-coding RNA (1632 nucleotides) under Lotus japonicus. RNAcentral's name for it is "long non-coding RNA (LJAP_LNC001846)". Lineage: Eukaryota; Viridiplantae; Streptophyta; Magnoliopsida; Fabales; Fabaceae. The record is from RNAcentral.
AAGAAAGUUUACUUUAUAAUGUAACUGAGGCCAAUAUGUUGAAUUCCUGUACAACAUUUUCUGCAUUAUAUCAAGCUUUCUAUGAGUUCUGUUGUGACAGUGUAUAUUUAGAAGGGCAGAGAAAAGUAUUGAUCGUUUUGUCAACAUAUAUUUCAGGAUACCUAUAUGGCCAUAUGCAAAGCUAAUCAUAACCUGCUGGUUGGUCCUUCCUUACUUCAGUGGUGCUUCUUACGUUUACGAGCAUUAUGUGAGAGCUUUCUUGCUCAAUCCUCAGACCAUUAACAUCUGGUAUGUUCCAAGGAAAAAGGACAUCUUCAGUAAGCCAGAUGACAUUAUAACUGCUGCCGAGAAAUACAUACAAGAGAAUGGAACACAAGAAUUUGAGAAUCUGAUCCAUAGGGUAUUUCCAUCUGUAACACUUGAUGAUUGUGGAAUUAUUCCUUGAUUUGUAUCUGACCUGUUGUACUAAUAGUGUCAUCUCUUUGCAGGCUGGUAAAUCAAGGAGUGAUGGUUAUCAUGCAAUGUAUGAUGAGACCUAUUGAAUGGUUCUUAUAGCUUCUACCUUAUAGGGAUAAUGGGAUGCAUGUAUAUGCUAGUAUGUUACUGGUAUUUCCUCUUAUCUCCUUAGGAGACUCAAGUGUUUUUCACCCUUUAUUGAAGUUUUUAUUUUCCGUGUAACUUAGGAUUAGUUAUCUGUGGUCUGUUUAAUAACACUAUGACACGUCUGGUAUAUAGAUAAUGCUAUGCUACAGUAGCAGCCUGUUAAUUUUUCCUUUGUUAUACCUUCAACAAAACCCCUCCAUUAUUAGAUAAUUUAGGGAUGCAAUUUUCUGAUGCCGCUAUUGAUCUUGUGAUUUUUUUUGUAAACCUUUUUUCCUCUUAUUUCAUUGAUAGUAUCCUUGUAAAUAGUAAUUGAAGAUGAAAUAUUGUUGUUUGAAAUCUUGCCCAAAUAGGUUUAUAAGAAUGUUUACCUAUCUUUCUGGGCUUACUUUGUAAACCUAUUUUUCUAUAUGGGUAAAUAAUAACGAGAGAAAAGAAGGUAAAAUGUAUCUAUUUUUCUUUGUACACCUAUCUUUCUUUGUGCUUUGAGUUCUACCGUUAUUGUGCCUAAAAUCUUAUACUUGACGUAUAGAUGCUAAUGAUUUGUUGAUUAUUAACAUUAACACAUUAUCUUUGCUUUGGAAAAUUAACAACAACCACAAACAACUAGGGCACACCUAGGCUAUCCUUAAGGAGAAGAUACUCUAACUCGGGGGGUCUAGUCUCGCAAUCCAUUCUGCCGUUGAUUUACCCUCUGGCUAACUUUAUAAUGUAACUGAGGCCAAUAUGUUGAAUUCCUGUACAACAUUUUCUGCAUUAUAUCAAGCUUUCUAUGAGUUCUGUUGUGACAGUGUAUAUUUAGAAGGGCAGAGAAAAGUAUUGAUCGUUUUGUCAACAUAUAUUUCAGGAUACCUAUAUGGCCAUAUGCAAAGCUAAUCAUAACCUGCUGGUUGGUCCUUCCUUACUUCAGUGGUGCUUCUUACGUUUACGAGCAUUAUGUGAGAGCUUUCUUGCUCAAUCCUCAGACCAUUAACAUCUGGUAUGUUCCAAGGAAAAAGGACAUCUUCAGUAAGCCAGAUGACAUUAUAACUG